ACGCUCGACACCUAGAGGCAGCAGUCGGGAAUAUUGCGCAAUGGAGGAAACUCUGACGCAGUGACGCCGCGUGCAGGAAGAAGGUUUUCGGAUUGUAAACUGCUUUAGACAGGGAAGAAAGAAAUGACAGUACCUGUAGAAUAAGCUCCGGCUAACUACGUGGCAGCAGCCGCGGUAAUCUGAGCGGGCUGGCAAGGC
RNAcentral lists this ribosomal RNA (198 nucleotides) under uncultured bacterium. RNAcentral describes it as "partial 16S ribosomal RNA". It matches the Rfam family "Bacterial small subunit ribosomal RNA", at positions 326 to 539 of the family's 1533-position model. The record is from RNAcentral.